Molecule: long non-coding RNA, 104 nt
Organism: Cyprinus carpio (common carp)
Lineage: Eukaryota; Metazoa; Chordata; Actinopteri; Cypriniformes; Cyprinidae
Exons: 3
Source: RefSeq, a predicted model, not a curated record
CGAACGCCCAGCUCACGUCCAAACUCGAGACACUGACGAAGCAGUCUCAGGAGCUUUCUGAUCAACUACAGAAGGAGCGGAAAGAGUUUGAGCAGAAGUUCACG